This is a long non-coding RNA of Girardinichthys multiradiatus, 346 nucleotides long. RefSeq lists it as uncharacterized. The transcript is spliced from 3 exons. Lineage: Eukaryota; Metazoa; Chordata; Actinopteri; Cyprinodontiformes; Goodeidae. The record is from RefSeq and is a predicted model, not a curated record.
CAUCUCUUAAAUGCAUUGGACAGACAGCACUACUAGUCCUUGAUGACUGUGAAGGGGCCGCACUGUGACAUUGUACAUCUGUCAGGAGGAGGCAGGUCCAUCAGGCACUGAAAGGACCCAGCCUGCUACUACUUGGGUUGAGGCUAUAUCUUAUUCUUCAAGUGACAAUGGUGCAGAAUACGAAGAAGAGCCACAUAGUGCCUAAAGGCCCAUGAAACACAAGGUAGCUUCUGUCUGAAGAAAAAUAGCAGCUCAUCCAACCCAACAAAGAGAGGUAAACAGCUCUCGAGGCGGGUGAGUCAGGCUACCUCAAGACCUGGUGAUGACAACAAGGACAAGUGGCACU